This 495-nucleotide ribosomal RNA is filed under the name uncultured Acidobacteriota bacterium. RNAcentral's name for it is "bacterial SSU rRNA". It matches the Rfam family "Bacterial small subunit ribosomal RNA", at positions 355 to 865 of the family's 1533-position model. Lineage: Bacteria; Pseudomonadati; Acidobacteriota. The record is from RNAcentral.
UCGGGAAUUUUGCUCAAUGGGGGAAACCCUGAAGCAGCAACGCCGCGUGAGGGAUGAAUGCCUUCGGGUUGUAAACCUCUUUUUUCAGGGACGAUGAUGACGGUACCUGGAGAAUAAGUCACGGCUAACUACGUGCCAGCAGCCGCGGUAAUACGUAGGUGACCAGCGUUGUCCGGAUUUACUGGGCGUAAAGAGCGCGCAGGCGGUCCUUCAAGUCGAGUGUGAAAGCCCCCGGCUCAACUGGGGAGGGUCAUUCGAUACUGAUGGACUCGAAGGCAGGAGAGGGAAGCGGAAUUCCCGGUGUAGUGGUGAAAUGCGUAGAUAUCGGGAGGAACACCAGUGGCGAAGGCGGCUUCCUGGCCUGUUCUUGACGCUGAGGCGCGAAAGCUAGGGGAGCAAACGGGAUUAGAUACCCCGGUAGUCCUAGCCGUAAACGAUGGACACGUAGGUGUUGGUGGUAUCAACCCCACCAGUGCCGAAGCUAACGCAUUAAGU